CAGGUGUAAGGUGCCCUUGAGGGGCCAGAACAGCUUCUGGGCCUCCCGCCAAGGCAGGAGUCCCUGUGUGUGUCCACUUCUGCUCCCUGGAGGGCCUCCCUCACACAGUGCUUCAGGGCAGAUGGCUCUUCCUGGCUGCAGCUGUGGGGAGAAAGUGGGGCAGAGAAGGGAGCGUGGGGAGCCAGCCGGGCACCUCCUGCCCCCACCCCCGUAGUCCCAGACUCAUCACGAGGCUCAGGUGCCAGCGCCCCCCUGGGAGCCAGAGCGUCACCCCCUCGGCAGCCCUGCCUGAAGAGGGUUCCCAGGCUUGGCUCUAAUUCCCCUGCCAAGCGGAAGGAACCCAGCAGGCGAUGCUGUCCUUGUCACUGUCCCUGAUGGCUGUGUUUUGUCUUUUGUAGUCACCCACUGAGCUGGACACCGCUGAAGGUCACCAGGCUGGGCCCAAGCAUGACCCGAGAAUCCAGCAGGUCCGCCAGUGGGUGGUCCCAGCCCAGACCACACAGAGACAUUGGAGAGGUCCGUGCCACCAGAUGCACUGUUGGUGGAACUUCAUAAAUGGCAGCAUGAAAUAUUUACCCACUUACACGAGCUUAAGUAAUUUAAGUUUGCUGGAAAUCAACAUCAUGUUUUCAUCUUUAAUGAGCCUCUGUAAAGCAGCGGCUUCUGUCACUGGCAGGUGUCGGGGACAGGAGCUUCCACAGCCAGAUGCGGCUUUAAUCUCCCUCCUCAGCAGUGACGAAGGAUGCAGGCAAAGCUUGGCCCCGGGCAGGGCAGGCGGUCGGGGGAUCAGAGCCCCGUGUCCUUCCUGCUCCCCUGCUGUCUCUGGACACUGAAGGACACUGGGCACUCCUUAGCAGAGCUCACAGGGCCCUGGUCAGCUGAACGGUGGUCUCCAAAGAUGUGCAAGUCUUAGUCACCGGGACCUGUGAAUCCAUCAGUUGACGCGGCACAAGGGACUUUGCAGACAUAAGGACCUUGAGAUGGACAGUGUGGGGGCUUAUUUUAUGUGUCAACUCGACUGGGCUGAGGAGGGCCCAGAGAGCGGGCGCGACCUCAUUUGGGUGCAUCAAUGGGAGGGGAGCAUUUCCAUCAGUAGACAGAAGAACCCCACCCAUGCAGGUGGGCCUUGUCCAGUGUGGGUGGUCACCUUCCAGCAGCAGGAUCACCCAGUACAGGUGGACGUCAUCCAGUCAGUUGGGGCCCCAAAGAAAACAAAAAGUGGAGGAAGGGCAGCUGUGGUCUCUACAGGGCCAUUUAUCUUCUGCCUUGGACGACCCGGCUGCCCAUUCUCAGGCCUCCAGCCCCAGACUGGACUGCACCCUGGCUGUCCUGGCCUCUGGCUUGCAGGCAGCAGUCUGUGGGACCACUUGGCUCCUUAUCCUGUGAGCCGGUCCCCGUAGUAAGUCUCCUCGUAGACAGAUGCGCACGUACACACUGCUGUAGCCCGCUUUCCCACGGCUGCAAUCGAAAGCCCUGACAAGAACAAUUUAGAGGAGGAAAAGCUUAUUUUAGAGGUCUCAGUCCAGAGAAGGCUGGCUCCAUUCCUCAGGGCCUGAGAUGGAGCAGCGCAUCAUGGCACAAGGACGUGGCAGAGGAAAGCAACCAGACCACGGCACCAGGAAGCAGAGAGAGACAGAGAGGGGGAGAGGGAGAGAGAGAGAGAGAGAGAGAGAGAGAGAGAGAGAGGGAGAGGGCGCUCCACUCAUCAGGGACAAAUAGGUGCUCCAAAGUCACGGCCCAAUGACACCUCCUCCAAUCGCCCCUCCCUGCCUGCAGUCACCACCCAGUUGAUCCUAUCAGAGGAUUAUUACUGCACUGGUUAGGCUAAGGCUCUCAUAACCCCAUCAGUUCACCUCUAAACUCUUCAGCACUGUCUCACACAUGGGCUUCUGGGGGACACCUCGUAUCUAAGCCAUCACACACACAAACAUGGCAAAUUCUCUCUAUAGCCACACAGCCGACCCUCCAAAUCCAUGGGUUGUGCAUCCAGGGGUUCAACCAACCUCAGACCAAAAAUAUUCAGAAAAUUGCAUCUGCUCAUAAGUAGAAUAUUAAAAAGUUGAUCUCAUGGAAAAUGAGAGUAGGGAGAAGAGGGAGGCCGUGGGCGAGGCAGGUCGGCAGGUGCAAUGUCGCUGAGCCUGUUACCCUCUAGGGGUGCUGGGUUCCCUGUCUGCGCUCAGCAGAGAAUUCAAGAGCAGGACAGAGACAGAAGCAGGCAGCAGGCUGAGGGCAGACCCAACAGAACAGACUUCUCCAAAGAGAAGGGGCCCCGGCGCCAGGAGGCUGGUGGGGCAGUUUUGGCCUCUUCUUUUUAUGGUCUCUGAAAUGUCCUCCUUUCCUUACCUCCUCCCUGUCCACGUGCUCCUCACCAUUAUUGAUUGGUGCCCCCUGUGUUCUGUUUUCGAGUUUCGAUUGGGUCCCCCCCUUAGGAGCAGGAAUACAGAAACGUCUGUCCCCGCUUGUGUCCACAAGCGCUUUCGUCAAGGAGGAAGUUGACCUCAUCAGGAGACCCUCUCCGUGCUCCUUUGUUCUGGCCCUGCCUGGACCUCCUUCCUCUCCAUCUUGCCCUGCCUGCCUACGCCCUUCUACCUCUUCCUCAAGGGAUGAGAAGAAAAAGUCCUGUUAGCAGCACAGCAGUGUGGAUGCGAUCAGCACAAGGCAGCGUGCGUAUAAACCAGCUCAAGGGAUGAGUGUGAACACACUCACCACGGAGAAAGGACCAGUGUUUGGUGAUGGGUGUGCUAAUUACUCUGUGUCGAUCGCUCCUCAAUGCAGACAUGAAUCAAAACAUCACAUCAUGCUCCAUAAAUAUGUACAAAUAUUAUGUGUCAAUCAAAAAAUAAAAAGAAGGAAAUUGCAUCUGUGAUGAUGAUAUACGGA
Molecule: long non-coding RNA, 2880 nt
Filed under: Marmota monax (woodchuck)
Lineage: Eukaryota; Metazoa; Chordata; Mammalia; Rodentia; Sciuridae
Source: RNAcentral